This 465-nucleotide ribosomal RNA is filed under the name Vreelandella stevensii. RNAcentral's name for it is "partial 16S ribosomal RNA". It matches the Rfam family "Bacterial small subunit ribosomal RNA", at positions 338 to 795 of the family's 1533-position model. Lineage: Bacteria; Pseudomonadati; Pseudomonadota; Gammaproteobacteria; Oceanospirillales; Halomonadaceae. The record is from RNAcentral.
CCUACGGGUGGCAGCAGUGGGGAAUAUUGGACAAUGGGCGAAAGCCUGAUCCAGCCAUGCCGCGUGUGUGAAGAAGGCCUUCGGGUUGUAAAGCACUUUCAGUGGGGAAGAAAGCCUUGGGGCUAAUACCCUCGAGGAAGGACAUCACCCACAGAAGAAGCACCGGCUAACUCCGUGCCAGCAGCCGCGGUAAUACGGAGGGUGCGAGCGUUAAUCGGAAUUACUGGGCGUAAAGCGCGCGUAGGCGGUCUGAUAAGCCGGUUGUGAAAGCCCCGGGCUCAACCUGGGAACGGCAUCCGGAACUGUCAGGCUAGAGUGCAGGAGAGGAAGGUAGAAUUCCCGGUGUAGCGGUGAAAUGCGUAGAGAUCGGGAGGAAUACCAGUUGCGAAGGCGGCCUUCUGGACUGACACUGACGCUGAGGUGCGAAAGCGUGGGUAGCAAACAGGAUUAGAUACCCCAGUAGUC